GAUGAGCAGCUGGGCAGCAUCGCUGACCGGACCAUUCAGGAGGCGGACACCAACGGAGACAACUCCAUCUCCUUCAACGAGUUCAUCAAGGUGUUGGAGAAAGUGGACGUGGAACAGAAAAUGAGCAUCCGGUUCCUGCACUAAACAGCUGAUGUUUUUUUGUUUUUAUUUUUUUUUAAAUUGAGUAGAGCUUCAACAUGCGAGUUGGAGCCUGAACUCACAGCGGGCCACACUACGAGAACACGCUGUCGCCGGGUAGAUCACCUCAUAGAUCCUGUACGCAAAGGGGAAGAGUCGCGUGCCUUGGGUUGUUUUAUGCAAUGUCUCUGUGUUGUUUGGAACAUUAUUUAUUAGGAAACAUUUAGAGAGUUCCACUUUCCACAGGAGGAUUUAUGUUCUAGCUCGGUACGAUAACGCGUUCAAUAACUAGUACAUGUUGUGUCUUUGUCUCUAUACUUAUGCAAUGGAUUAACGUGUAAGAUGUGUGAUUCCUCGUGGAAACAGACGGUGUUUUAAAUGCUAACAUGACUCCUUAAUAUCGCCGACAGCUCUGAGUUCGUUACUCGAUUUAAAGCUGAACGUACACUUUGUGUUUCUCUCACUGAAGUGCCAUGGCUUCAUUAUCUCAACAGUGAACCCUUAUGGCCAUGUUUGUGUAUUUGUUUUUCAUAAUCUAGCUACUGCCAAUAGAUUGUAAUUACCUGUAGGACUGAACCAAAGUGAGUUCCACGCUAUUUCAACGCCUGCUGGAUCUAGGACGUAUGUUUUAAUGUCAUCAUUAAUUAACUCUGUUAUAGCGUGUCUUUCCUAAUAUAUCUUUAAUUGGUAUUACCAGAUUUAGCUGCCACUGUGGCCUGAUUUAAAAAAAAAAAAAGUGUUACCCCGUGUUUGAGUCGUCUGAAAGCCCUGUGGUGGAGAGUGGGAGGUGAGAUUUAACACUUGAAACCAGUAAAUCCAUAAUGGUGCAUCAUGCUUCCAUUAAUGUGAUCAGCUGCUAUGGGAAAGAUGUAUUAGCAGGCACAGCGGUGACAAGAUCUUAUUUUUCCCUUUUGUUUGGUUGCUGAUACGGUGUCUAAAUGUGUGUUGACGUUCAAACUGCUUCAACAUUCAUUUGAUUUCUCAGUUCCAGCUGCUUUAGAGAAUCAGAUGCUUUAAUAAUAUAUAUUUUCUGUACAGGCUAAGUGUGACAUUAUAAUCUUUGUUUGUCAAAUCCUCACCCUGCAGCAGCCAGCUGCAGGAAAUACGACUUGUUAAUCAUUUUGUGAUUAUCGAUCAGAUAGGAUUCACAUGUUACGUGAUGUUGGUAUUAUCUCAGUAAUUCAUCCAUUUUUGAUUUGAAUAAAAUUAAGUGCCAUGCUC
Long non-coding RNA from Notothenia coriiceps (black rockcod), 1359 nucleotides. RefSeq lists it as uncharacterized. Lineage: Eukaryota; Metazoa; Chordata; Actinopteri; Perciformes; Nototheniidae. The transcript is spliced from 2 exons. The record is from RefSeq and is a predicted model, not a curated record.